This 253-nucleotide ribosomal RNA is filed under the name uncultured bacterium. RNAcentral's name for it is "partial 16S ribosomal RNA". It matches the Rfam family "Bacterial small subunit ribosomal RNA", at positions 524 to 776 of the family's 1533-position model. The record is from RNAcentral.
UACGUAGGUGGCAAGCGUUGUCCGGAAUUAUUGGGCGUAAAGGGCGUGUAGGUGGAUUCUUAAGUCGUGUGUCUAAGUGCGAAGCUCAACUUCGUAUAGGCGCAGGAAACUGGGAAUCUUGAGUGCAGGAGAGGAAAGUGGAAUUCCCAGUGUAGCGGUGAAAUGCGUAGAUAUUGGGAGGAACACCAGUGGCGAAGGCGACUUUCUGGACUGUGUCUGACACUGAGGCGAGAAAGCUAGGGGAGCGAACGGG